UGCACAGAGUUCCUAGAAAUACGACCGAGGCGCACCUCUGGGCCAGCUCUGUGGGACUUCUGUGAUGGCCUUAAUAAUUUGCAGCUGAACUUCAACACAUCUUUCUAUAUGACACCCAAUCUAGGAACAUUAACGUGCCACAAGGAAAGGACAGGAAUUGUCCCUGAUCCCAAGACCUGCUUUUAGAGCCCUUUUGGUUGAUCUGAUCUGCAAUCAAUACACUAACAAAAUCAGCUUCCUCUCACACAUUUAUUUUAUCACAAAAAGAGGUUGCAUCCAUCAGAGUUUCUUCCAGUCCAGCUCCUGUGCCUGAAUUUUUCUCCAGGACAUGACUUCUACUGCAUUAUUUCUGUAUUUUUGAUGGACAGGUUCAUCACUGAAUACAACCAGUAAUAAAUUCCUCUUAGAUUUUAGGAUUAAAAGU
Long non-coding RNA from Oxyura jamaicensis (ruddy duck), 424 nucleotides. RefSeq lists it as uncharacterized. The transcript has 3 exons. The record is from RefSeq and is a predicted model, not a curated record. Lineage: Eukaryota; Metazoa; Chordata; Aves; Anseriformes; Anatidae.